This 466-nucleotide ribosomal RNA is filed under the name uncultured bacterium. RNAcentral's name for it is "partial 16S ribosomal RNA". It matches the Rfam family "Bacterial small subunit ribosomal RNA", at positions 28 to 507 of the family's 1533-position model. The record is from RNAcentral.
GAUGAACGCUGGCGGCGUGCUUAACACAUGCAAGUCGAACGAUGAAGCCCAGCUUGCUGGGUGGAUUAGUGGCGAACGGGUGAGUAACACGUGAGUAACCUGCCCUUAACUCUGGGAUAAGCCUGGGCAACUGGGUCUAAUACCGGAUAGGAGCGUCCACCGCAUGGUGGGUGUUGGAGAGCUUUAUCGGUUUUGGAUGGACGCGCGGCCUAUCAGCUUGUUGGUGAGGUAAUGGCUCACCAAGGCGACGACGGGUAGCCGGCCUGAGAGGGUGACCGGCCACCCGGGUACUGAGACACGGCCCAGACUGCUACGGGAGGCAGCAGUGGGGAAUAUUGCACAAUGGGCGCAAGCCUGAUGCAGCGACGCCGCGUGAGGGAUGACGGCCUUCGGGUUGUAAACCUCUUUCAGUAGGGAAGAAGCGAAAGUGACGGUACCUGCAGAAGAAGCACCGGCUAACUACGUG